CGUACACUUUAUUAUCGUUCCCUGUUGCUGGUGUUCACACUGAACGAAGCGAAGCGGAGCUUUUCUCUUGGUCUCGGCUGCAAAGAUACCACAAAACUUCCGCCAAUUAAAAGCGGUAAAAAUAUUUGCUAAAUUUUAUUCAAAAGAUCAGUUUUUAUUUGAA
Molecule: long non-coding RNA, 163 nt
Organism: Rhagoletis zephyria (snowberry fruit fly)
Lineage: Eukaryota; Metazoa; Arthropoda; Insecta; Diptera; Tephritidae
Source: RefSeq, a predicted model, not a curated record